This 2791-nucleotide ribosomal RNA is filed under the name Salmonella enterica. RNAcentral describes it as "23S ribosomal RNA". The record is from RNAcentral. Lineage: Bacteria; Pseudomonadati; Pseudomonadota; Gammaproteobacteria; Enterobacterales; Enterobacteriaceae.
GGUUAAGCGACUAAGCGUACACGGUGGAUGCCCUGGCAGUCAGAGGCGAUGAAGGRCGUGCUAAUCUGCGAUAAGCGCCGGUAAGGUGAUAUGAACCGUUAUAACCGGCGAUWYCCGAAUGGGGAAACCCAGUGUGAYUCGUCACACUAUCAUUAACUGAAUCCAUAGGUUAAUGAGGCGAACCGGGGGAACUGAAACAUCUAAGUACCCCGAGGAAAAGAAAUCAACCGAGAUUCCCCCAGUAGCGGCGAGCGAACGGGGAGGAGCCCAGAGCCUGAAUCAGCAUGUGUGUUAGUGGAAGCGUCUGGAAAGGCGCGCGAUACAGGGUGACAGCCCCGUACACAAAAGCGCAUGUGCUGUGAGCUCGAUGAGUAGGGCGGGACACGUGGUAUCCUGUCUGAAUAUGGGGGGACCAUCCUCCAAGGCUAAAUACUCCUGACUGACCGAUAGUGAACCAGUACCGUGAGGGAAAGGCGAAAAGAACCCCGGCGAGGGGAGUGAAAAAGAACCUGAAACCGUGUACGUACAAGCAGUGGGAGCCCCACCACUAAGCCAGUGGUGAACUCCACAUACGCAUCCUUUGCUGAGGAUACGGUUAACGGAGCGAAAGCGACGUUCAACCUCAAAAGAAGCAGAGGGGGCUUAGUGGUGGGGUGACUGCGUACCUUUUGUAUAAUGGGUCAGCGACUUAUAUUCUGUAGCAAGGUUAACCGMAUAGGGGAGCCGGAGGGAAACCGAGUCUUAAUUGGGCGUUAAGUUGCAGGGUAUAGACCCGAAACCCGGUGAUCUAGCCAUGGGCAGGUUGAAGGUUGGGUAACACUAACUGGAGGACCGAACCGACUAAUGUUGAAAAAUUAGCGGAUGACCUGUGGCUGGGGGUGAAAGGCCAAUCAAACCGGGAGAUAGCUGGUUCUCCCCGAAAGCUAUUUAGGUAGCGCCUCGUGAAYUCAUCUCCGGGGGUAGAGCACUGUUUCGGCUAGGGGGCCAUCCCGGCUUACCAACCCGAUGCAAACUGCGAAUACCGGAGAAUGUUAUCACGGGAGACACACGGCGGGUGGAUACGUUCGUUGGGUAGGGGAGCGUUCUGUAAGCCUGYGAAGGUGGCCUGUGAGGGUUGCUGGAGGUAUCAGAAGUGCGAAUGCUGACAUAAGUAACGAUAAAGCGGGUGAAAAGCCCGCUCGCCGGAAGACCAAGGGUUCCUGUCCAACGUUAAUCGGGGCAGGGUGAGUCGACCCCUAAGGCGAGGCCGAAAGGCGUAGUCGAUGGGAAACGGGUUAAUAUUCCCGUACUUGGUGUUACUGCGAAGGGGGGACGGAGAAGGCUAUGUUGGCCGGGCGACGGUUGUCCCGGUUUAAGCGUGUAGGUGUGUGUUCCAGGUAAAUCCGGUUCACUUUAACACUGAGGCGUGAYGACGAGGCACUACGGUGCUGAAGCAACAAAUGCCCUGCUUCCAGGAAAAGCCUCUAAGCAUCAGGUAACAUCAAAUCGUACCCCAAACCGACACAGGUGGUCAGGUAGAGAAUACCAAGGCGCUUGAGAGAACUCGGGUGAAGGAACUAGGCAAAAUGGUGCCGUAACUUCGGGAGAAGGCACGCUGACACGUAGGUGAAGUGAUUUACUCAYGGAGCUGAAGUCAGUCGAAGAUACCAGCUGGCUGCAACUGUUUAUUAAAAACACAGCACUGUGCAAACACGAAAGUGGACGUAUACGGUGUGACGCCUGCCCGGUGCCGGAAGGUUAAUUGAUGGGGUCAGCGCAAGCGAAGCUCCUGAUCGAAGCCCCGGUAAACGGCGGCCGUAACUAUAACGGUCCUAAGGUAGCGAAAUUCCUUGUCGGGUAAGUUCCGACCUGCACGAAUGGCGUAAUGAUGGCCAGGCUGUCUCCACCCGAGACUCAGUGAAAUUGAACUCGCUGUGAAGAUGCAGUGUACCCGCGGCAAGACGGAAAGACCCCGUGAACCUUUACUAUAGCUUGACACUGAACAUUGAGCCUUGAUGUGUAGGAUAGGUGGGAGGCUUUGAAGYGUGGACGCCAGUCUGCRUGGAGCCGACCUUGAAAUACCACCCUUUAAUGUUUGAUGUUCUAACGUGGACCCGUWAYCCGGGUUGCGGACAGUGUCUGGUGGGUAGUUUGACUGGGGCGGUCUCCUCCUAAAGAGUAACGGAGGAGCACGAAGGUUGGCUAAUCCUGGUCGGACAUCAGGAGGUUAGUGCAAUGGCAUAAGCCAGCUUGACUGCGAGCGUGACGGCGCGAGCAGGUGCGAAAGCAGGUCAUAGUGAUCCGGUGGUUCUGAAUGGAAGGGCCAUCGCUCAACGGAUAAAAGGUACUCCGGGGAUAACAGGCUGAUACCGCCCAAGAGUUCAUAUCGACGGCGGUGUUUGGCACCUCGAUGUCGGCUCAUCACAUCCUGGGGCUGAAGUAGGUCCCAAGGGUAUGGCUGUUCGCCAUUUAAAGUGGUACGCGAGCUGGGUUUAGAACGUCGUGAGACAGUUCGGUCCCUAUCUGCCGUGGGCGCUGGAGAACUGAGGGGGGCUGCUCCUAGUACGAGAGGACCGGAGUGGACGCAUCACUGGUGUUCGGGUUGUCAUGCCAAUGGCACUGCCCGGUAGCUAAAUGCGGAAGAGAUAAGUGCUGAAAGCAUCUAAGCACGAAACUUGCCCCGAGAUGAGUUCUCCCUGAGACUUWRAGUCUCCUGAAGGAACGUUGAAGACGACGACGUUGAUAGGCCGGGUGUGUAAGCGCAGCGAUGCGUUGAGCUAACCGGUACUAAUGAACCGUGAGGCUUAACCUU